RNAcentral lists this ribosomal RNA (253 nucleotides) under uncultured bacterium. RNAcentral describes it as "partial 16S ribosomal RNA". It matches the Rfam family "Bacterial small subunit ribosomal RNA", at positions 524 to 776 of the family's 1533-position model. The record is from RNAcentral.
UACGGAGGGGGCUAGCGUUGUUCGGAAUUACUGGGCGUAAAGCGCACGUAGGCGGCUUUGUAAGUUAGAGGUGAAAGCCCGGGGCUCAACUCCGGAAUUGCCUUUAAGACUGCAUCGCUAGAAUUGUGGAGAGGUGAGUGGAAUUCCGAGUGUAGAGGUGAAAUUCGUAGAUAUUCGGAAGAACGCCAGUGGCGAAGGCGACUCACUGGACACAUAUUGACGCUGAGGUGCGAAAGCGUGGGGAGCAAACAGG